UGGGUUCAAGGGAUUCUCCUGCCUCAGCCUCCUGAGUAGCUGAGAUUACAGUAGGCCAUCCAGAACAUGUGUAAGCCAGUGACACUACAGGCAGCUCUGGGAGCCAGUUUAUAUACCAACUCCUGAUGGUACGUCCAGCCUGCUGCCCAGGAAGGAAGCCAGUGCUGGCAGCUGGAAGGCGCCUGGCGUGUAUGGGAGCAUCAAGAGCAUGGGGAGAUGCACUGCAGUGGCCAGCACAGACCUCCAGUCUGUUAUCACAGUCUCACUCUCUGUAAUAAAAAGGUUAAUAAGGUAACAAGGAGGUUACGUUGCUGUUUUAAUUUUCUUUCCUUGACUAAAUUAUGUUUAACAUCUCUUCAUGCUCAAAAGUUUUUUGUAUGUCUUCUGUGAAUUCUUUUGUGUCAUUUGCUCAUUUAUCUACUUAUGUGGUUUUUGCCUUGAAGAAAAUUUAAAUUUUAAUUUAGUUAAAUGUAUAAAGUUUUAUCUUCAUA
Non-coding RNA from Macaca mulatta (Rhesus monkey), 491 nucleotides. The record is from RefSeq and is a predicted model, not a curated record. NCBI's taxonomy places the organism in Eukaryota, Metazoa, Chordata, Mammalia, Primates, Cercopithecidae.